RNAcentral lists this long non-coding RNA (459 nucleotides) under Physcomitrium patens. RNAcentral's name for it is "long non-coding RNA (PPAT_LNC005613)". Lineage: Eukaryota; Viridiplantae; Streptophyta; Bryopsida; Funariales; Funariaceae. The record is from RNAcentral.
AUCAUAAAGAAAUAACAUAGAAAUUUAAAAAUAUACUAAAAUAGAAAUUUUAAUAAAAUAUCAAAAUAGAAACUUUAAUUAAAUUUUAGUCAAAACCUAAUCAAAUUCUAAUCAAAUCUUAAAUAAACCCUAGUCAAAACCUAACAAAUCCUUAUCAAAUCCUAAUCAAAUCUUAAACAAAACUUAACCAAAUCUUAAAUAAAUCCUAGUCAAAUCCUAACCAGAUCCUAAUCAAAUCCUAAAAUAAUCUUAACUAAAUUUUAAAUAAAUCCUAGUCAAACCCUAAAAAAUCCUAACAAAAUUCUAAUCAAAUUCUAAACAAAUCCUAACCAAAUCCUAACCAAAUCCUAAAUAAAUCCUAGUCAAAUCUUAAAUAAAUCCUAACCAAAUCUUAACCAAAUCUUAAUCAAAUUCUAAAAAAAUCUAAACAAACCUUAACCAAAUCCUAAUCAAAUCCUA